Small nuclear RNA from Jaculus jaculus (lesser Egyptian jerboa), 105 nucleotides. The record is from Ensembl. NCBI's taxonomy places the organism in Eukaryota, Metazoa, Chordata, Mammalia, Rodentia, Dipodidae.
CUGAUAAUUUCUGCAGCACAUAUACUAAAAUUGGAACAAUACAGAGAUUAGCAUGGCCCUUGCACAAGGAUCUCUCUCACAUGCACAUAUAAUAAAAUAAAUUUC